CACUUGUAUAGCUGGAAAAUCCAAAAGCAAGAUGGCAGCUCCCCUCUGGGGAUCCUGGGAUACCAGUCAUCGAAUGUAGAGGCUGCCCUAAUUCUGAAUCGCUUUUGUUAUGGUUGAGGCUGAAAUGUCCUCUAUGGGAUCCUGACCAAAUGGUCUCCAGCUCCUAGCAGGAAAUUGAACAAUAUUAAACGAAGCCAGAGAUGUGAUGGAGAUAGAGGCAUUGUGGAAGGAACAAAGCAAUGCGAAUGUGUGGAGUCUCAGGUCUAGGGAAGAUGAGGGACGUGAUAAUCGAAUAUUAAAGCAGAGGAGAUGCGCUGCAGCUCGUGUGCCAUUCAUCACUGCUUUCAUCCUGGUCUGGUGGCGGAAUCCGGAGUCUGAGGAGACAUGGGCAUUAUCUCUGCAGUUUAUUUACAUCUCGAAUCAGGUCGCACUGACAAGAGAGAAAGGAAUUCCAGGGAAGAAAUGUAACUAAGUGAUAUAUUUCUUGCAGAAAGUGCAAACAAA
Molecule: long non-coding RNA, 504 nt
Organism: Peromyscus leucopus (white-footed mouse)
Lineage: Eukaryota; Metazoa; Chordata; Mammalia; Rodentia; Cricetidae
Exons: 3
Source: RefSeq, a predicted model, not a curated record